This is a long non-coding RNA of Bubalus bubalis (water buffalo), 320 nucleotides long. RefSeq lists it as uncharacterized. The transcript is spliced from 3 exons. Lineage: Eukaryota; Metazoa; Chordata; Mammalia; Artiodactyla; Bovidae. The record is from RefSeq and is a predicted model, not a curated record.
AGGCAACUCUUCACUUGUCAGAGAUAGUGCGACCGAUUUCCGCACAUGCGCGUUCGAUGUCUGCAGCGCCCACUCGACGCUGAAGUAGCGGCGCUGCUAGUCCGCUAGCGUUUAGGAUAGGGUGAGGUGUGGGCGACAGAGCCUGGAGCCGUUUGUCAGGGAACUGAACACGCACAUCUGCCCAGGAAUUGGAGAAACUGGAGGAGUCUCUAGAGGAAGGUAGAGUGAUUGCAGACCCAGCUAUUCCUCACAUGAAGGAGCUAUUUGUAAGGCCUCCUUAGACAGCCAUUUUGCAGCGCAGGCGGCUGCGACGCUGCACA